GACGAACGCUGGCGGCGUGCCAAAUACAUGCAAGUCGAACGAGAGCACCCGGUGCUUGCACUGGUCAAUCUAGUGGCGAACGGGUGAGUAACACGUGGGUAACCUGCCCAUCAGAGGGGGAUAACAUCCGGAAACGGAUGCUAAAACCGCAUAGGUCUUCGAACCGCAUGGUUUGAAGAGGAAAAGAGGCGCAAGCUUCUGCUGAUGGAUGGACCCGCGGUGCAUUAGCUAGUUGGUGAGGUAACGGCUCACCAAGGCCGUGAUGCAUAGCCGACCUGAGAGGGUGAUCGGCCACAUUGGGACUGAGACACGGCCCAAACUCCUACGGGAGGCAGCAGUAGGGAAUCUUCCGCAAUGGACGCAAGUCUGACGGAGCAACGCCGCGUGAGUGAAGAAGGUUUUCGGAUCGUAAAACUCUGUUGUUAGAGAAGAACAAGUGCUAGAGUAACUGUUAGCGCCUUGACGGUAUCUAACCAGAAAGCCACGGCUAACUACGUG
RNAcentral lists this ribosomal RNA (498 nucleotides) under uncultured bacterium. Its description in RNAcentral is "partial 16S ribosomal RNA". It matches the Rfam family "Bacterial small subunit ribosomal RNA", at positions 28 to 507 of the family's 1533-position model. The record is from RNAcentral.